CCCUUAGACGUUCUGGGCCGCACGCGCGCUACACUGACCAGUGCAACAAGCAUCCGUCCUUGGCCGACAGGCUCGGGCAAUCUUUGAACGCUGGUCGUGAUGGGGAUAGACUUUUGCAAUUUUUGGUCUUCAACGAGGAAUUCCUAGUAAACGCAAGUCAUCAGCUUGCGUUGAUUACGUCCCUGCCCUUUGUACACACCGCCCGUCGCUCCUACCGAUUGAAUGGUCCGGUGAAGCGUUCGGACCGUGGCCUUUGGACGGUUCGCCGUCUGUUGGCUGCGGGAAGUUCGUUAAACCUUAUCAUUUAGAGGAAGGAGAANUCGUAACA
This 328-nucleotide ribosomal RNA is filed under the name uncultured eukaryote. RNAcentral's name for it is "partial 18S ribosomal RNA". It matches the Rfam family "Eukaryotic small subunit ribosomal RNA", at positions 1470 to 1796 of the family's 1831-position model. The record is from RNAcentral.